GUUAAAGGAGGCUAGAGCGAGCAUGUGUUGUGAGAGAAAUACCCCAAAAGUUUAUGUCUCUCCUCCAACAACAAAAUAAUUCCCCAACGGGGACAAAAGAAUAAUAACGGUGUUACAAACCACCCCAAUAGGAGUUUCUUUUCCUGGAGUAUUAUAAUUAAAAUUUGCCCCAUUAAAACCCCUUUAAAUAAAAUCACCAGAGCCUCCCCUUUGUUUUGAAAAGGGGAUAGUCCUCCCCUCUCGCCCCAUCCCUCCAUAAAUCAUUUUCUUAAAAUAAAAUAGAGGGGAGUUCCAAAAUUUCUUAGGAGGGCCAUCUGUAGCUCACCGUCUUUAAAGGAGGACCAGCCCUUUGCCCCGACUAAUACGGGGUAGCACUAAAAGACAAGCACCUAACCAAGCAGGGUGGUCCGGUGGUUUAAUAUUUUGUUCUUUACGAAUGCGGGGAGGGGAUCUACGUGCGGAAGUAAUACAUAAGCUCCCUCUUUUCUUUUAUCUGUUGUCUCCGCUACCGUUAAUAAGUUCUAAUCUUCAGUUGUUUAUCUUUAGAGAGGCGAAGUGGGGUUUAUAGGCGGCCCUGCCGCGCCCGGCGCGGCUGCGCAGCGUGGGUAGGGGAGG
RNAcentral lists this ribosomal RNA (615 nucleotides) under bacterium 150907-44_P20_ML7_756. RNAcentral's name for it is "partial 16S ribosomal RNA". The record is from RNAcentral.